This 548-nucleotide ribosomal RNA is filed under the name Fusarium solani. Its description in RNAcentral is "eukaryotic LSU rRNA". The stretch from base 161 to 314 matches the Rfam family "5.8S ribosomal RNA". The record is from RNAcentral. Lineage: Eukaryota; Fungi; Ascomycota; Sordariomycetes; Hypocreales; Nectriaceae.
GGGGGAGUACCGAAUUUUAAAACUCAUCAACCCUGUGAACAUACCUAAAACGUUGCCUCGGCGGGAACAGACGGCCCCGUAACACGGGCCGCCCCCGCCAGAGGACCCCCUAACUCUGUUUCUAUAAUGUUUCUUCUGAGUAAACAAGCAAAUAAAUUAAAACUUUCAACAACGGAUCUCUUGGCUCUGGCAUCGAUGAAGAACGCAGCGAAAUGCGAUAAGUAAUGUGAAUUGCAGAAUUCAGUGAAUCAUCGAAUCUUUGAACGCACAUUGCGCCCGCCAGUAUUCUGGCGGGCAUGCCUGUUCGAGCGUCAUUACAACCCUCAGGCCCCCGGGCCUGGCGUUGGGGAUCGGCGGAAGCCCCCUGCGGGCACAACGCCGUCCCCCAAAUACAGUGGCGGUCCCGCCGCAGCUUCCAUUGCGUAGUAGCUAACACCUCGCAACUGGAGAGCGGCGCGGCCACGCCGUAAAACACCCAACUUCUGAAUGUUGACCUCGAAUCAGGUAGGAAUACCCGCUGAACUUAAGCAUAUCAAUAAGCGGAGAAA